UUUGUCUUUUAAUUGAGGACUGGAAUGAAAGGUUAGACUAAAUAUUUUUGUCUUAUGCUGAGACUACGAAAUUUAUAAUUUAGUAAAAAAGCUAAAAUUUUUCUUAAAGACGAGAAGACCCUAUCAAGCUUUACAAUUUUAUUUUAAUAUCAAAUUAUGAGAAAAAUUGUUUAACUGGGGCAGUGAACAAGAUAAAUCUUGUUUAGAAAUUAUGAAUUAUAAAUCUUGAAAAAUCAAUAAAUUUUUAAACAAAAAUAAGUUACUGUAGGGAUAACAGCAUAAUUUUUUUAAAGAGUCCUCAUCAUCAAAAAAUAUUGUGACCUCGAUGUUGGAUUAAGAGACCUCCCCCACGCAAUAGUAGGAAAAGGAAGUCUGUUCGACUUUUAAUCUCUUCCA
Molecule: ribosomal RNA, 396 nt
Filed under: Vaejovis vorhiesi group sp. RWB-2013
Lineage: Eukaryota; Metazoa; Arthropoda; Arachnida; Scorpiones; Vaejovidae
Description: partial 16S ribosomal RNA
Rfam family: Bacterial large subunit ribosomal RNA
Source: RNAcentral